RNAcentral lists this ribosomal RNA (589 nucleotides) under uncultured bacterium. RNAcentral's name for it is "bacterial SSU rRNA". It matches the Rfam family "Bacterial small subunit ribosomal RNA", at positions 117 to 692 of the family's 1533-position model. The record is from RNAcentral.
GUGGGUAACCUGCCCAUCAGAAGGGGAUAACACUUGGAAACAGGUGCUAAUACCGUAUAACAAUCGAAACCGCAUGGUUUUGAUUUGAAAGGCGCUUUCGGGUGUCGCUGAUGGAUGGACCCGCGGUGCAUUAGCUAGUUGGUGAGGUAACGGCUCACCAAGGCGACGAUGCAUAGCCGACCUGAGAGGGUGAUCGGCCACAUUGGGACUGAGACACGGCCCAAACUCCUACGGGAGGCAGCAGUAGGGAAUCUUCGGCAAUGGACGAAAGUCUGACCGAGCAACGCCGCGUGAGUGAAGAAGGUUUUCGGAUCGUAAAACUCUGUUGUUAGAGAAGAACAAGGAUGAGAGUAACUGUUCAUCCCUUGACGGUAUCUAACCAGAAAGCCACGGCUAACUACGUGCCAGCAGCCGCGGUAAUACGUAGGUGGCAAGCGUUGUCCGGAUUUAUUGGGCGUAAAGCGAGCGCAGGCGGUUUCUUAAGUCUGAUGUGAAAGCCCCCGGCUCAACCGGGGAGGGUCAUUGGAAACUGGGAGACUUGAGUGCAGAAGAGGAGAGUGGAAUUCCAUGUGUAGCGGUGAAAUGCGUA